UACGUAGGAGGCGAGCGUUGCUCGGAAUCACUGGGCGUAAAGCGCACGUAGGCGGCUUUCUAAGUCAGGGGUGAAAUCCUGGAGCUCAACUCCAGAACUGCCUUUGAUACUGGAGAGCUAGAGUCCGGAAGAGGUGAGUGGAACUGCGAGUGUAGAGGUGAAAUUCGUAGAUAUUCGCAAGAACACCAGUGGCGAAGGCAGCUCGCUGGGACGGUACUGACGCUGAGGCGCGAAAGCGUGGGGAGCAAACAGG
This 253-nucleotide ribosomal RNA is filed under the name uncultured bacterium. Its description in RNAcentral is "partial 16S ribosomal RNA". It matches the Rfam family "Bacterial small subunit ribosomal RNA", at positions 524 to 776 of the family's 1533-position model. The record is from RNAcentral.